Molecule: long non-coding RNA, 209 nt
Filed under: Elaeis guineensis (African oil palm)
Lineage: Eukaryota; Viridiplantae; Streptophyta; Magnoliopsida; Arecales; Arecaceae
Description: long non-coding RNA (EGUI_LNC071896)
Source: RNAcentral
AAUAAUUUAUUGUAACCUUUGCAUAGGAUUAAUCAUCAAUUAAAUUGAUAAUUAAACCCUCCAAUAAUUCAUAAUCAUCGAUCAGCCAUUUAAUCAGACAGGUACUUCUAUGUGUGUGACCCCAUAGGUUCGAAUCUAAGCUGAUAGCAUAAGAAUGAUUUCUGUACUAAUCGAUGUAACCAUCUAGCAAUGGGACCUGACAUCCGGAU